RNAcentral lists this long non-coding RNA (9460 nucleotides) under Homo sapiens (human). Its description in RNAcentral is "non-protein coding lnc-NOX3-9:3". Lineage: Eukaryota; Metazoa; Chordata; Mammalia; Primates; Hominidae. The record is from RNAcentral.
AACAAUAGCAGCAUUAACAGUCAUUGGACUCCCACCGAGUGUGUUAUUCUUUAAAUUAGAACCCAUGAAUAUAAUGAGAUGGAUUUUCACAGGAACAAGGGCAGGCUGAAACAAAGAGAUAAAGAAACUGAGGCUCAAUGAACUUGUAACGCUUUAGUGUCAGAGCUCUAGAAUGGGUGAAGGCCAGAUUCAGACCCAGGCAUCGUGACUCCCAAGUCUGCUUGUGGAUCCUUGAAAGCAAGGGUGAGCCAUAAGCAUUGCACCUUUGAGAGAACUGUGUAAAGUACAUAAGUCUGACCUGUGAUCCAAGAAAACAGUGAUGAGUUCUGUGCCUUGUUCUUCAUUCCCGGACCCAAGCUGACUUAUCAGUCUCACAGCAGUGGGGAAAGAGCUAUGGAAGAACCAGGAACAGGAACCAUACAACGUGUCUUACAUCUUCUGUCCUAUAUCACUUAUGCUCGCAUCUCGUUGGGCAAGAAAAGUUGUGGGGUCAAAUAUGAUGUCCAGGGAUAAGAAUAGUAGAGACAGCCAGCUAAAAUUGAGAGCAAAUAAGAUAACCUAUCCUACUCCCACAUUUUUAAGCAGUGAGCUUGAGACAGAAUCACUACCUUAGGGAACCUACACUUUAGUAUGAAAAUGUGGAGGUGUGCCAGGACCUGCUUUGGCAAAAAAACAAUGAAUAACCUGGUAAGACGAGAGAAUGUAAGGGAAGAUUACACUGGAAAGAACAUAUGUGGUCAGAUCAGAAAGACCUUAAAUACCCUUUCUAAAGAUUAGACUUAGUUUUAGAAUCAAUGGGCAGUAACUAAGUUGUCUGAAGUAGAGGUGUAGUGGUUAGUUCUUUGUGUCAAAUUGAUAGUCUAUGUAGUACAUAAUUACUUCAUUAAACACUGAUUUAGGUGUUACUGUGAAGCUAUUUUUCAGAUGGGGCUAAUAUCUACAGUCAGUUGACUUUAAGUAAAGAAUGUAGGUGGGCCUCACCCAAUCAGUUAAAGGCUUAAGAGCAAAAACAUAUUUCCUGGAGGAGAAGAAAUUCUGUCUCAAGAUGGCAGUGUAGAAAUCCCACCUGAGUUUCCAGCCUGCUGGCCUGCCCUGUAAGUGCUGGAUUUGCUAGCCCCCACAAUCGCAUGAGCCGAUUUUUAAAUAUCUUUAUAAAUAUAGAUAUAGAGAUAGAUAGAUAGAUAACCUAUUGGUUCUGUUUCUCUGGAAAACCCUAGUUCAUAAGAGAAUAUCAUGAUUCAAUUUUGUAUAGAUGGAAGAGAUUUUGCAAAUUAGAAAGGAAAGAAUUUGCUAACUGCUCAGAGGUCAGCAUGAGAGGAAAGAAUUAAAGAUGAACCCAGGACACUAUUAUUUUGUAAGCUAAGUAAUUCUACUUUUUAUAUUAUUUCUUGAAACUUUCUUCAUGCUUUGUCCUUAUUUUUACAAUGGACUACUACAUUGCUAAUGACCCCAGUUUGUUUAUUAUUCAUUAUGAUGUGCAUAUGUGAAAAUACGUUCUAUGCUGUAAAUGUAAGUUCUUUCUUUUUGUAAAUACACUGCUGCUCAAUUUCUCAGUAAUUGCUCCAAAAUUUGAAUUUUCUACCAGAUGGGAAACAGAGAUAUCAUCCAUGACCAAGAUCCAAGCAUGCAUCCCCACAAGGGCAUGACAAUAAGCGUUAUUCUUUGAUUUCUUCAAAAUGCAUUAGAGUUGCCCCAGAUGAGUAAGAAAAUAUAAGAAUUCCUUAGGUAGUCUCACCAUUAUCCCAAGAGGGCUGAGCCUUCAUCAAACCUCUUUGGAUGGCAGGAUUAAGGGAGGUUGGAAACUGAGUCUGUCCUGAUCGAGUUAAUUCUCAUCCCUACCCCAUUGCUUACCUCUAUAACUCUUUGGUUUCUGUCAGAGUUUCACAGGCUCCCAAUGUAUAACUAGGUCAGAUAUUUUUGUGGAAUUAUUAUCAUUUAGUAUUUAAUAAUGUAUUUACAGUAUUAGAUAAAGUUCUAAAACUGAGCCAUUUAAUUCCUGCUAUAUCCCUCUGAGAUAAUUUGCAAUAUCCUGUAAAUGAGAAAAUAUAAAGAGUCACAUGAUUUGACCAGCCCCCCCACCCAAAAAAAAGUAUGCCAACAAAUCUAUUUUCUCAUAGAAAUUGUUAAGUGAGAAUAGUGAGCAUAGCUCUUUCUGAGGGAUUAUGAAACAACAACAAAACAAGGAAGAACAACAACCAAAGAAGAAUAUAUAGGCCAUCAAGGAGCUAAUGAUCUGGUCUUAAAGAAAAUACAAGUGUUGGCCAGGCACUGUGGCUCACGCCUGUAAUCUCAGCACUUUGGGAGAUCGAGGCGGGUGGAUAACUUGAGGUCAUGACUUCAAGACCAGCCUGGGCAACAUGGAGAAAUACUGUCUCUACAAAAAAUACAAAAAUUAGCCAUUGUGUUGGCACACACCUGUAGUCUCAGCUACUCAAGAGUCUGAGGCAGGAGAAUCACUUGAACCUGGAAGGCAGACAUUGCAGUGAGCUGAGAUCACACCACUGCACUAAAGCCUGGGUGACAGGAUGCUCUGUCCAAAAAAAAAAAAAAAAAAACAGAGAGAGAGAGAAAGGACAGAAAACACUUGUGAAACAGGGUAUUUCCCCCAACCCCUUCACAGGACUCACAGCAGGGGUGCCUUGUUUACCCAGCCUGCAGUUUUCAACUCCUCAUGGGAGGGAGCAUGCAAGUGAACAAAGCGGGAACUGGAAUGCAUGAAUGCUGGAAUCAGCUGUCCACUUCAGCCCCAGCAGAAAUGAACUCCACUCACUUGGACUCACUGCACUCCACCCGUCAUGGGAGGGAGUGCACAGUUUCUGAGGCAGCUUCUUCUUACUCCUUCCAGAAGACUUUUGAGGAUAAAGAAAGGAUGAAAAUUCUCCAAGAAAAUGGAGCACCAAGACUGAUGUUGCACGAAAUGCCAAAAUUUUGAAGAAAAUUCCAUCAACAACAAGAUCUAUAGAGAGGAAUAGAGAAAUAUAAUCAGAAGCACUCACAGAUUUUGCUGCUUGAAGGAGCAAACCCACUCCCCUGAGAAGACAGACUGGGGCUUCUUUCCUCCCCCAUGGCCUGCUUCUUGAACCAGCAUUCUGAAUCUGAAGUAUUAACCUGAGAAUUGGCUGUCCUUCUGUGCACACAUGCUACAUUUUGAGGUGACCUGAAUACUAUCUGCAACCCCCUCAAUUAACAAUUCCUUUUGAAGCCAUGUAUUAGACUGCACAUUUAAAUAUAAGAGAAAAAUUAAAAAGAUGGGCAGUGGUAUCUAGAUCCAGGGAAGCUUAGUUACAAUGAAUAAAGAAGAGUAGGUGGAAAGAAACCUGAAAUGUGGUUCAAUUUUCCCAUGUUUUUAGCUCAAUGACUAUCAUCCCAGUGCCUUUCAACAUGUUAUAGUCCAUACCGUCUUCAAUGUAUUCUGACCUAAUUUUAGUGUAUUUCUACCUAACCUUGAUUUUGCCAGGGUUAGCAUAGUUUAGUUAUAAUCACAUGAAAUAUGAUUUUUCAAGGAGGAUAUCCUCUCCCAAAUAGUAUAUGCACUUGACCCCCAUCCUUACUGUGCAAAUAUGGAACACAGAGCUAGACAAGGAAAAUUGGGUUAAGCACUGAUCUUAUCAGUGUUCUUUAGGUUUCAAUCAGAGACACAGAGGAUUCUAUUAACCCCCAACUCCACCAUCAGUAGGAGGAACAAGGAAAAUCUAGAUACCCUGACCAUUGACAAACACAAGAACUAUACAUGCAUUCCCUCAUUUGAGAUAAAGACAAGAGAAAGAUACAGUGUGGAAUAAAUGGUACAUCAUCCUGAAAAAAAAAUCUUUGGAAAUGACUUCACAAGAAUUCUUAAAAUGUAGUAAAGUGCUCUAUGUCUUCAAUAUGAUAGAAACAUUUAUGAACUCCAUGAAUCAGGAACUACAGGAAUAAAAAGAGACUGUGUUGAGAGGAAAAGGAGUUGGGUGAAUCAAGGUGGAGUAGCAAUCAUAAAACUUGAAUCAGUGUUGGGAGCAGUAAAGAACGAACUGAUGUUGUGGAAAAUUAAAACACUAAUAUGGACCAUAAUAUUGAGCUUUCCUGGAAUGCAGAUGAAAAGGAUAAAUACCGAAAAAAAAGUAGUGAGAAAAGAUGAAGAUACGGAAUUUAGAAGAAAAAAGCUAACCUGAAUAUAACUAAUGUUCUCAAAGAAGAGACAAGACAAAAAUUAACUAAGCAAUGAUAAACUUUAAGCAAUGAUAACUUUCUUGUAUUGAAGACCUAUGUAUUAGUCUGGGUUCUCUAGAGGGAAAGAACUAAUAGGAUAGAUGUAUAUAUAAAGGGGAGUUGAUUAAGGAAUAUUGACUCACACUGUCACAAGUUGAGGUCCACAAUAGGCCAUCUGCAAGCUGAGGAGCAAGGAAGCCCGUCCGAGCCCUAAAGCUGAAGUACUUGGUGUCCGAUGUUCAAGGGCAGGAAGCAUCUAGCAUGGGAGAAAGAUGGAGGCCAGAAAACUAAACCAGUCCUGUCUUCCCACGUUCUUCUCCCUGCUUUUAUUCUGGCUUUGCUGGCAGCUGAUUAGAUGGUGCCCACCCAGAUUGAGGGUGGGUCUGCCUCUCCCAGUCCACUCACUCAAAUGUUAAUCUCCUUUGGCAACACCCUCACAGACACACCCAGGAAAAAUACUUUGCACCCUUCAAUCCAAUCAAGUUGACACUCAGUAUUAAUCAUCACAACCUAUAUCUUCAGAUCCAAUGAACCUAGGUAAAAGUAAAAAAAAAAAAAAAAAGAUUUGCAUAAAGACAUAUGAAGAUGAUAUUUAAAUGUGAAGACAAACAACAUGUCCUGAAAGCAUCUCAUACAGGAGAAAACAAACAUUACUUCCAAAGGAGCACAUCAGGUAGGCCUGAGACUUCUCUUCACCAAUUUCAAAUGUCAGAUAACAAUGACAGAAUUGUUACAGAGAUCUGGAAGAGGAGAAAAAAUACUCAAGAGUUUUAUACUAAAGCAAGUAGUCUUUCAUAUGUGAUCACACAACCAAAAACUCUUCUUAGAUAUGCUAUUAGAGAAUAACACAUACUUCAUAAGUCAUUGUGAAAAUUGUAUGAAGUCAUGAAUGAGAGAAAUGAACAUUUGACUACUACCAAGUUCUGCAUAAAUGUAGGUUCCUAUUACCUGACUGGCAUUUGUAGAUGUUUACUAAAAUCAAAUAGGAAGGGGGCAUGUGAUUUAACAGGCUUUUCUUAAUCCUUGCUCAAUCUCAGAGAGGGAUGCCUGCUUACAAGCAGAUACCUCACACUGAGCAGGAGGACUUGUUUUCUGGUGCUGAAACCUUGGUCAAGUGACUUAGACUUUCUGAGCUUCCAUUUUUGUCUUCUGUAAAAUAAGUUAUUGGGGCUAAAAUUUUCUUCUAGCUUUACUAUUCCAUGUUGUUUAAAAGUUUAAAGAUCUAUAAGUGGGGCAUUAUAUUAGUAGAAGUUACACUUUAAUAUUCUUUUAUUUUCUAUGUUUUUACUUUAGAGACAUAAAGCUUACUUUAGGAAGAUAUGCUGGAUAAAUGAAUAGAGCAGAUUUCAAAUAAGUAACAUUUGGAUUUUGUUUGACUGGUCAAAAAGGACCAGGGAAUGGGCACAUUUAAAAAUGCAAAAGGCUUGGGAGGCCGAGGCGGGUGGAUCACGAAGUCAGGAGAUUGAGACCAUCCUGGCUAACACGGUGAAACCUCGUCUCUACUAAAAAUACAGAAAAAUUAGCCAGGCAUGGUGACUGGCGCCUGUAGUCCCUGCUACUCAGGAGGCUGAGGCAAGAGAAUGGCGUGAACCCGGGAGGCGGAGCUUGCAGUGAGCCGAGAUCCUGCCACUGCACUCCAGCCUGGGCGACAGAGCUAGACUCCGUCUCAAAAAAUAAAUAAAUAAAUAAUGCAAAAGGUAAAAAUUAUUAAACAAAUAGGUUAUGCGUGUAUAUACAAUGCUUUAGCAGUUAUAUUUAAGGCCAGAUAAAGAUUUGAAAUGCUCCAGCCCACAAUACCAUAAUAUUCAGCAUGGGUGGGAGGGGAUAUGGCUGUAAUGGGGUUAAAGAGGAGCACAGUAAAGUUUGUUAAUGGAAUCUCUGCGUGGACGGUGUUGAAACUUAAAGCACAUUAAUAAUAAAAGCCCUGCUUUAAAAACUGACCUUGUAGUUGAAAGAUAUGCGAUUGUGUCAUUACCAAUUAAUGUGUAAGGUAACAUAGCUUGUACUUGGAAAGCAACAAGGAGGAGUAUCUAAAUGAUAUUCACACAUCUUAAUUAGUGUCAUUAAUAGUUCUUUUGCCAUCUUUCAUGAGAGCAAUGGCAUCUUGCUGCAAGCCAUUGCAAGCAUCUUGUUAUAAGUCAAACCAGGAAGCUAGAUUUGAAGCCAAGUUCUUAAAAGUGGUUUUAAGCUACGGUGCCUACAUGACUAGAAUGUUUCUCUAGGGCCUCUUCUCAGCUGCAGGACUUUUGAAAGCAAUCAGCAAUAGAGCCAGACCUGAAGGUAAUGGUGACUGAUGGACAGCAUUACAAGCGCUCUGUGAGAUGAGAAUGCAAAAACAUGAGAAGAAAUAUGCAAAACAAAUUUCUUCCUAUAGCCUCCCCCGAUGAUUGAUCAGUGAUUUUAAUACUAUAGGUAAAAAUGUGUAUAUAUAUAAAUGUUUCAUCUCUGAAUUCAUUAUCUGCUACUGAACAAAUGAAAUAUUUCCUAAUGAUAUUCUGAAAGUUACUAUAAGAGAAGCCCAUCUAAAAAUCCUUAUUACUGAAAAAUGUUGGUGCACUAGUGUACAGUGUGGCACAAACUGGUAUAAUUUAGGACCCAUCACAUGAUGAUUGCAUCUUAAAUUUUUUUACCUUCUCUGGAAACCAUAAUCUAUAUAACCUAUACCUAAAAUAAAUUUUAUUAUUGCGUUUUCUUCUGACCCUAAAGGUACAAUAUCCUUUAAAUGGGCUUGGAGGGGGAACUGGCAAAAUACAAAGUAGAAUAAAAUUAAAAGGAAAAGAAAUUGAUGGGCUUCCAUCCAGCUUUUUUUCUAUAUAAAAUGUGUAAUUAUGAAUAUAUAUGCUCAUAAAUGCAAUAUUUAACUUAUAUAUGUAGUUUUCUUUGUGUCACUGUCUUAUGUCAUUAAAAUUUUUCAAAAGUAUAAUUAAUAUAAAAUAGCCUAUUUUAUAGUUGUACCAUGUCUGUCUGUCUGGGCUUCUAUAAAAGGAUAUUAUAGACUGGAUGGCUCAUAAACAAUAGAAAUUUAUUUCUCACAGUUCUAGAGUCUGGGAAGUCCAAGAUCAAGGAAACAGUACAUUUGGGGUCUGGUGAGGGCCUGGUUCAUAGAUAGACGGUGGUCUUCCUGCUGUGUUCUUACAUGGCAGAAGGGGCAAAAGGGCUUUGUCGGGCCUCUUGUAUGAAGGCAUUAAUUCCAUCCAUUAUCAAGUGACCUCCCAAAGGCCCCACCUCCUCAUACUAUCAUAUUGGUGCCUGGGUUUUAACAUACAAAUUUUGGGAAGACACAUACAGGCCGUGGCAUACCAUAACUUAACUUAUUGUUGAACAUUUGAGUUAUUCCCAAUUUUUCACUAUUAAAAAAUAAUCCUGGCCAGGCGAGGUGGCUCACGCCUGUAAUCCCAACACUUUGGGAGGCCAAGGUGGGUAAGAUCACUUGAGAUCUGGAGUUCGAGACCAGCCUGGCCAACAUGGCAAAACCCUGUCUCAAAAAUACAAAAAUUAGCUAGAUGUGGUGGCCAGUGCCUGUAGUCAGGAGGACUACAGCUACUCAGGAGGCUGAGGCACAAGAAUUGCUUUAACCCAGCAGGCGGAGGUUGCAGUGAGCCAUCACAUCAUUGUACUCCAGCCUGGGAGACAGAGUGAGACUCCAUCUCAAAAAAAAAAAAAAAAAUCUGUGCUGAAUAUGUUUGCUCACGAAUUUUGUUUAUAUUUCUAACUACUUUAUUAAAAUAUAUUCCUAGAAGCAUCAUGACUAACCCAAAGGGUGCAUCCAUCCUUAAGACUCUUCACACAGAUUGUCAAACAGUCUAAAAAAGUCAAACCAAAUAUACUUCUACCAUUUGGAUAUAAAGGGGCACAACUACAAAAACUAUUUCAUUUUUGUUUUUAAUGUUACUCCUCAUUAACAGUGAAAAUAAAUGUUUUCACAUUUAUUAGUUAUUUGUGUUUUUUCUUCUAAUAAUUAUCUGUUGAUAUCUUUUUAGAUAUUAGUAUAUUAAUAGUAGUUUCUUUUAUAAUUAAGAAUAUCUUAUGAUACCAACUGUGAUAUCACUUUUCUUUUUUUUUUUUUUGAGACGGAAUCUUGCUCUGUCACUGGGCUGGAGUGCAGUGGCGCCAUUUCGGCUCACUGCAACCUCCGCCUCCUGGGUUCAAGCAAUUCUCUUGUCUCAGCCUCCUGAGUAGCUGGGACUACAGACCCACACCACCACGCCUGGCUAAUUUUUGUUUUUGUAUUUUAGUUGGGAUGGGGUUUCACCAUGUUGGCCAAGACGGUCUCAACCUCCUGACCUUGUGAUCCACCCACCUCGGCCUCUCAAAUUGCUGGGAUUACAGGCGUGAGCCACCGCGCCUGGCCACUAUCACUAUGUUUAAAAAGACAGACAAUAUUUAUGACAUUAACAUUCAUUUCUGUAUUCCCUGUGUUCACCAAGUCUAAUUGGUUUUUUGUUAGUCUGCUUUUUUUUUUUCAGGCAGUACAGGUAUAUUCAAUUUUAGGCAGCUCUUGGCUUCUAUUCCAAUUUAAACAAGCUAGACACUUAAAAUUUUUAUAUAAAUAAUUUUGUGAGUAUUAAAACAAGUAUUAUAAGGCUAUUGAUCCUUUUUGCAGCAGAGUAGUGGUUUCAUUGCUGAAGCAAAAUACAGUAUUAUAAAGCUACAUUAAUAUUUUUAUUUCUAUGGCUAGGUCAAUCAAUCUGGCUAACAACUGAGAAAAAAAGAGUUGUAAUCAAUUACAUUCACACAUCUAUUUUAUUUUUUGCAUGUAGAAGCAGAGUUAAGUUCUUAGGUCAUUACUAAAGCAAUAAUAUAUUCUAUUCUACCUUGUGAAAUUUUUAAGAAAAUACGUAAAGAAGUUGCCCUUGGAAACACCUUCUUACAACAAAACAGAGACCCAAUGGGGAAAGACAUUUCUGAGGGCAGCUUAACUUUGUGUCUAUAGCUGUAAAAUAAUAGAGAUAAUUAAAACAAAAAAACUUUUGAAUUUAACUAAAAACAUGCUUACAUCACCUUAUUUUUAUUUAGUUUUAACUGGUCUAUUAUUUUCAUAUUUAUUUGCCACCCUUAAAAAAUGCCUUUGUUAUCAUAGCUUUUUCUUCUGAGACACAUGCCUGUCUCCUAUUUGAGUUCUGGUUCUAAGGUUAUACAGUUUAGCAGUAGGAAUUGUUUCUUUCUCCUCUUCUCCUUCUAUGUACAAUUGUUUUUUAAAUAUGGCCUACCCUGUAUUACAUAGGCAUGCUAUUUUUUAUUUAUUUAUUUAUUUAUUUUUGAGACGGAGUUU